Non-coding RNA from Paramuricea clavata, 1166 nucleotides. Lineage: Eukaryota; Metazoa; Cnidaria; Anthozoa; Malacalcyonacea; Plexauridae. The record is from the annotation of a GenBank genome assembly.
GUUGUGAACGAAGGCAGAAGAUCGAAGACGGGAUAUGGAUUCAUGUCUCGCUGUUUUAUCCUGAUCAGGGUAAGGAUUUCAGUCAUCAUUCACAAACAGCUAGACAUGAAUCUCUAAUCUGUCCUCACUCCUGACCCUAAACUCAGAAUGCGCAAGAUAAUGUGCAAGACAGGCAAAAAUUGUCAACCACGUCGUCGUCGUCCUACUUCGUUCUCUUGCUCAAACUCUCUAUUACAACGGCAACGGCAACGUGAUCAUCAACAAUAGCAUUGAUCCUCGAAGACAAAGGCGAUGUAAAUUACAUGGUCUUAAGCGUUGUGCAAUGCCGUAGUUGUUGAAACUGGUACGUGAUCCGCAUCAUUUCACGGCGGUGCAUGACUACGGCAACCGGUUAAUUCGAGUUCGAUGUUAUUUGAGGUGUUUUAUUUGAAUUCGCGGACUAUUUUUAAUUGAGGACUGUUUGUGAAAAACAGGAAUACUUAACGAGGCAAAUUAAGUGUAGGAACGUAUACUUUGGCUCAAAUACAACAUAAGCAAUUAUAUUUUUGCCGUUGUCGUUGCCGUUCUGGGUUACCAAACUCCCUAUUUUCCCGUGAUGAACCGGUGGUCCAUCACGUAAAAACAAACGCAUGCAUUUUAAAACAAAACAGCAAAACUAAUUGAAAAUUUGAAAAUUAUAAUUUAACUUGUUAUUAAUAAGAUAUCUAAUAAUAAUAACAUUUAAUAUCCAUCUUUGGUUAAAAAAGUACAAUGGAUUUACAAGAAGUGCUAAGGUUAAAAUUGAUAAGAAGAAAUUUUACUAUUAUUUACAUCAAUGUUGCUAAAAAUGUUUAUACUAGUUAUAUAUUCUAUAAAAUUAAUUUAGGACUGUUUUAAAAGGGAUAUAGCUCUAGGUAUAAAGGAUUGCCGGUGUCUUUUAGUAUACGAUACAACAUAUGGUAGAUUACUUGUUGUUCUUAGAUCGUGUUCAUGGGUAAAAGGUUGGGGGAUAAGUUUAUUACAUGGGUUGGUCGGAUCACUUAGAAUUCUUUGGUAUUCCUUAACAGUUAGGUGUGCCCUUCUUUGUUCUAGCGUUUCAAAGUUGCACCGAGAUGUGCCGAGGAUUUUGAUGCAUCUGUUUUGAAUGCUCUCUAUUUCAUCAAUGAGAUAUUGUGGUAAACCACCCC